This 440-nucleotide ribosomal RNA is filed under the name uncultured bacterium. Its description in RNAcentral is "partial 16S ribosomal RNA". It matches the Rfam family "Bacterial small subunit ribosomal RNA", at positions 338 to 795 of the family's 1533-position model. The record is from RNAcentral.
CCUACGGGAGGCAGCAGUGGGGAAUAUUGGUCAAUGGGGGAUACCCUGAACCAGCGACGCCGCGUGAGGGAUGACUGACUUAUGUAUUUACAACUUUUUUUGUAUGGAAGAAAAGUACGGUAUGUGACCAACAAGCCCCGGCUAACUACGUGCCAGCAGCCGCGGUAAUACGUAGGGUGCAAGCGUUAUCCGGAUUUACUGGGUGUAAAGGGAGCGUAGUCGGUGUAGUAAGUCAGAUGUGAAAGGUUGGGGCGCAACCCCAGAACUGCAUUUGAAACUGUUAAACUUGAGUACAGGAGAGGUAAGCGGAAUUGCUGGUGUAGCGGUGAAAUGCGUAGAUAUCAGGAGGAACACCAAUGGCGAAGGCGGCUUACUGGACUGUAACUGACGUUGAGGCUCGAAAGCGUGGGGAGCAAACAGGAUUAGAUACCCCUGUAGUC